RNAcentral lists this ribosomal RNA (1346 nucleotides) under uncultured bacterium. Its description in RNAcentral is "partial 16S ribosomal RNA". It matches the Rfam family "Bacterial small subunit ribosomal RNA", at positions 28 to 1381 of the family's 1533-position model. The record is from RNAcentral.
GACGAACGCUGGCGGCGUGCUUAACACAUGCAAGUCGAACGGAAAGGCCCUGCUUUUGUGGGGUGCUCGAGUGGCGAACGGGUGAGUAACACGUGAGUAACCUGCCCUUGACUUUGGGAUAACUUCAGGAAACUGGGGCUAAUACCGGAUAGGAGCUCCUGCUGCAUGGUGGGGGUUGGAAAGUUUCGGCGGUUGGGGAUGGACUCGCGGCUUAUCAGCUUGUUGGUGGGGUAGUGGCUUACCAAGGCUUUGACGGGUAGCCGGCCUGAGAGGGUGACCGGCCACAUUGGGACUGAGAUACGGCCCAGACUCCUACGGGAGGCAGCAGUGGGGAAUAUUGCACAAUGGGCGGAAGCCUGAUGCAGCAACGCCGCGUGCGGGAUGACGGCCUUCGGGUUGUAAACCGCUUUCGCCUGUGACGAAGCGUGAGUGACGGUAAUGGGUAAAGAAGCACCGGCUAACUACGUGCCAGCAGCCGCGGUGAUACGUAGGGUGCGAGCGUUGUCCGGAUUUAUUGGGCGUAAAGGGCUCGUAGGUGGUUGAUCGCGUCGGAAGUGUAAUCUUGGGGCUUAACCCUGAGCGUGCUUUCGAUACGGGUUGACUUGAGGAAGGUAGGGGAGAAUGGAAUUCCUGGUGGAGCGGUGGAAUGCGCAGAUAUCAGGAGGAACACCAGUGGCGAAGGCGGUUCUCUGGGCCUUUCCUGACGCUGAGGAGCGAAAGCGUGGGGAGCGAACAGGCUUAGAUACCCUGGUAGUCCACGCUGUAAACGGUGGGUACUAGGUGUGGGGUCCAUUCCACGGGUUCCGUGCCGUAGCUAACGCUUUAAGUACCCCGCCUGGGGAGUACGGCCGCAAGGCUAAAACUCAAAGGAAUUGACGGGGCCCCGCACAUGCGGCGGAGCAUGCGGAUUAAUUCGAUGCAACGCGUAGAACCUUACCUGGGUUUGACAUGGAUCGGGAGUGCUCAGAGAUGGGUGUGCCUCUUUUGGGGUCGGUUCACAGGUGGUGCAUGGCUGUCGUCAGCUCGUGUCGUGAGAUGUUGGGUUAAGUCCCGCAACGAGCGCAACCCUUGUUCACUGUUGCCAGCACGUUAUGGUGGGGACUCAGUGGAGACCGCCGGGGUCAACUCGGAGGAAGGUGGGGAUGACGACAAGUCAUCAUGCCCCUUAUGUCCAGGGCUUCACGCAUGCUACAAUGGCUGGUACAGAGAGUGGCGAGCCUGUGAGGGUGAGCGAAUCUCGGAAAGCCGGUCUCAGUUCGGAUUGGGGUCUGCAACUCGACCUCAUGAAGUCGGAGUCGCUAGUAAUCGCAGAUCAGCAACGCUGCGGUGAAUACGUUCCCGGGGCU